RNAcentral lists this ribosomal RNA (253 nucleotides) under uncultured bacterium. RNAcentral describes it as "partial 16S ribosomal RNA". It matches the Rfam family "Bacterial small subunit ribosomal RNA", at positions 524 to 776 of the family's 1533-position model. The record is from RNAcentral.
UACGAAGGGUGCAAGCGUUACUCGGAAUUACUGGGCGUAAAGCGUGCGUAGGCGGUUUGUUAAGUCUGCCGUGAAAGCCCCGGGCUCAACCUGGGAAUGGCGAUGGAUACUGGCGAGCUAGAGUACGGUAGAGGAGAGUGGAAUUCCCGGUGUAGCAGUGAAAUGCGUAGAGAUCGGGAGGAACAUCAGUUGCGAAGGCGGCUCUCUGGACCAGUACUGACGCUGAGGCACGAAAGCGUGGGGAGCAAACAGG